This 157-nucleotide ribosomal RNA is filed under the name Acremonium sp. AM35. RNAcentral's name for it is "5.8S ribosomal RNA". It matches the Rfam family "5.8S ribosomal RNA". From Rfam's summary of the family: 5.8S ribosomal RNA (5.8S rRNA) is a component of the large subunit of the eukaryotic ribosome. It is transcribed by RNA polymerase I as part of the 45S precursor that also contains 18S and 28S rRNA. Lineage: Eukaryota; Fungi; Ascomycota; Sordariomycetes; Hypocreales; Bionectriaceae. The record is from RNAcentral.
CUUUCAACAACGGAUCUCUUGGCUCUGGCAUCGAUGAAGAACGCAGCGAAAUGCGAUAAGUAAUGUGAAUUGCAGAAUUCAGUGAAUCAUCGAAUCUUUGAACGCACAUUGCGCCCGCCAGUAUUCUGGCGGGCAUGCCUGUUCGAGCGUCAUUUCA